AGUGGGGAAUCUUGGACAAUGGGCGAAAGCCUGAUCCAGCCAUGCCGCGUGAAUGAUGAAGGCCCUAGGGUUGUAAAAUUCUUUCGACGGGGAAGAUAAUGACGGUACCCGUAGAAGAAGCUCCGGCUAACUUCGUGCCAGCAGCCGCGGUAAUACGAAGGGGGCUAGCGUUGUUCGGAAUUACUGGGCGUAAAGCGCACGUAGGCGGAUCGAUAAGUAAGGGGUGAAAUCCCAGAGCUCAACUCUGGAACUGCCUUUUAAACUGUCGAUCUGGAGCAGAGUAGAGGUGAGUGGAAUUCCGAGUGUAGAGGUGAAAUUCGUAGAUAUUCGGAGGAACACCAGUGGCGAAGGCGGCUCACUGGACUCUUGCUGACGCUGAGGUGCGAAAGCGUGGGGAGCAAA
This 402-nucleotide ribosomal RNA is filed under the name uncultured Rhizobium sp. Its description in RNAcentral is "bacterial SSU rRNA". It matches the Rfam family "Bacterial small subunit ribosomal RNA", at positions 353 to 772 of the family's 1533-position model. Lineage: Bacteria; Pseudomonadati; Pseudomonadota; Alphaproteobacteria; Hyphomicrobiales; Rhizobiaceae. The record is from RNAcentral.